This 760-nucleotide long non-coding RNA is filed under the name Rattus norvegicus (Norway rat). RNAcentral's name for it is "long non-coding RNA NONRATT009814". The record is from RNAcentral. Lineage: Eukaryota; Metazoa; Chordata; Mammalia; Rodentia; Muridae.
GCAGGUUCACUAAUUUGAUAUUUGUUAUAGACAGGCAGUUGAAGUUUUAUUAAUCAGUGCUGCUUUCCUCUUUUAUUUUUUUCCUUUUAGCUGACAUGUGCUUAUUACAUUUUAUAAAUAACCAGUGCUCCACAUUGUGCUCUUGAUAAGCAGUGUUUAGUAGAUAGAAGGUAGUAAAUGUAUUUGUGACUUAAAAGUAUUUUCAGCUCUGUGGUUCACAGAGUUUAAUUCUUUUUAAGGAGCACUUGUAUUAGUCUUUUGAGAUAGAGCUAGGUUUUGAAGGGCUCUCUGUAGAAGAUUAGAUGCCCUACCCCACUGUUAAGUGAGUCUUUACAUUUUUGUCAACACUCAUUGUUGAUUUAUUGACUACUGAAGUAUAGUACUCAUCCUUAAAAAAUUUGCAAAGUAAUACACUGUAUGCUAUUUCAUAUUUAGGCGUGAAUUACCCUUUACUAAGUCAGCUCAUCUCACCAAUCCCUGGAAUGAACAUAAGCCAGUAAAGAUUGGACGUGAUGGACAGGAAAUUGAACUUGAAUGUGGAACCCAGCUUUGUCUUCUGUUUCCCCCUGAUGAAAGUAUUGACUUGUAUCAGCUCAUUCAUAAAAUGCGUCACAAGAGAAGAAUGCAUUCUCAGCCUCGAUCAAGAGGACGUCCAUCCCGUCGAGAACCAGUCCGGGAUGUGGGAAGGCGUCGACCAGAAGAUUAUGAUAUUCAUAACAGCAGAAAGAAACCAAGGAUUGACUAUCCCCCUGAGUUUCAC